This is a long non-coding RNA of Oreochromis niloticus (Nile tilapia), 431 nucleotides long. RefSeq lists it as uncharacterized. NCBI's taxonomy places the organism in Eukaryota, Metazoa, Chordata, Actinopteri, Cichliformes, Cichlidae. The record is from RefSeq and is a predicted model, not a curated record. The transcript is spliced from 3 exons.
AGGUGUUCAGUAUUGCUUUGGUCUAGUUAAGUCCGUUAGUGGUUUCCUGUCUGAGAUGAUCGGGGGGGACCUCCACACUUCGUGCUCGGUACGGGGACUGCUAUUCUGGUUCGCGUUAGUAGACUGGUGCGCCACUCUUUGACUAGCGGUUGCGUAGCUUACGUGAAUGUUUUGUCGUAGCAGAGGCCCAGGUAAAAGGAAGUGGUCCCCCGUGGACGAGUAGCUACUAAAUCGGGACGAGAGUAAAUGGCACUUAAAAUAUUCAGCGAAUGAGUUUAAGCUAAUCGAGGUGAUCAUCAGAAAAGCAUCCAGUGGUCUGUUUUGAGCCAAAUGUGGGGAAGCAUUAGGAGCUGAAGAUAUAUUUAUGAUGAAGCCCAGAUUAACAUUUGUCUGCCUAGCCCACGUGUCUCUUUUAUCAUGAACUGUUGAAA